Molecule: long non-coding RNA, 11684 nt
Organism: Gallus gallus (chicken)
Lineage: Eukaryota; Metazoa; Chordata; Aves; Galliformes; Phasianidae
Exons: 4
Source: RefSeq, a predicted model, not a curated record
AGAGGAGAAGUAAGACUGUCCCAUUGCAAGAGGUUUCAUUCUACUUCGUGCUGAACCAAAAGGAAUCGAUCAGGCAAGUGACUUUUUUUCCUUUGAUACUUAUUACUCUGCAAAAUAUUUUUCCUGAAAGGAAUGAUUCAUCUCUCUUCUUGUGUGGGUACCUCUGGAAGACCAAGGUUAAGGGGAUUUCCCCAGGAACCCAGAAACUACUGGGAUGAAGUAAGUUACUCUUGUAUUCACUGAGUGCUGAAGCAAGAUAAGGGAAUAGUUGCUUGAAACUGAGUCUGCACAAUAUGCCAAUUUUCCUGGGAACAUGAAGUGUUGUUGCCUAUGUGUUUAUGUAAGAAAACUUUGUAUUUUUUUUCAUUUCCCAGUUUCGAUCAAUUGUGAUCAUCCCAGUGUCCAUGUGUCUAACAAGGACAUGUCCAUGUCCUAACAUGCAAAGAAAUAAUGAAUCGGAAUGUAGUUUUGAAGUGAAAUCAAACCAAAGCCCUAAAGUUUGAGGCUCCUAACUUCUCAAAUCAGACUGGAGCUCUGGUCCCAUUGAGCUCUAUGGGAAUGUUGCUAUUGACUUCAUCAGCUCACAGCUGCACCUAAAAAUUUAGUGAACUAUUUGUUGAUAAAUCUGACAGUGCUGGGCUAAAGCACAAUGGUAUUUCUCACUGUAUAAAAGCCUAUUUACAUCAGAGUUUGAACUGAAUGCUACUCGGGUAAGUUUAGAGAAGUAUCUUUUGCACUUUGACCCAGUAUUGGAGGGAAAAAUCCUUCUGCACAGUAAUCUAUGUUCUCAUUGUAACAUCUUAUCUUGAAAACCCUCACUGUAGUUGUAUUUCAAGUUCUUUGUAAAGGCAUGUCAACCAGGCCAGACCAGUAGAAUAUAUCUGAAGUAAAGUCAGUGUUCAUGAUGGUCUAAUGGAAUUACAUCUCAAAGUAGCACAGGGCCUGUGUGCAGGCUGCUGCACCCACCAAGAGGACCGUACGGACUGCUUGUUAUCUCCCACUUCUUCCAGGAAUGACACUGCCUUGGAAUGCCUCUUGCAGCUUUGCAGGAAGACCAGAGGGGCUGCACCUGGACCUGGGGAUUCCACCUAGGGCAGUAACAACCUUCCUGGGUAUCCUGAGCACGAGGAGACAAAUUUGCAGGGACAGCUGGAGGAGCACAUGGGAUGGUGUGCAGCACAGAGGAGGGAGCCGACAUGAGAAAAGCACCAAGAACAAUGUGAGCAUGACCCAGGACUGCCCACCUCCAGGCUCCUUCCAGCAACAUGCUGCUCCUUCCAGGUGGAGCCACAGCAAGACAACUGUGGGAACACAAUCUCAGACUUCAGCAUCCUCAGGUAUCUCAUGAUACAUGCGUAGUUCCCAACCGGAUGUUCCCAACCACUUUGCUACCCAACCUCCGAUGUCUGUUAAGCUCUCCUUUCCUAUGGUGAGUUCUCUGCAGAAAACAGCAAUGAGAGAGAGGGACCCCCAUAUGUGUGCCGACCUCAGAAAGUUUGAGAGACACCAAGCCUCUUACAGUGCUCACAGGCACAUCUGAGCAAAGCCCCACACAUAAUGCCGUCGCGUUAUUCCUUUUCACGUAGCCGCUGAUCCAUGACACUGGAAGUGUUUUAAAGACAAUGACCCCGAGUCUCAGCAAUGGAGCUGGGGGUGCUGGAAAUGCCCGGUCUGUUCCUACAUCUGCAGUUUAGGUUACGUGAUCUUACCAUGCUGUUUCAAAACCACAAAACGCUGUGGGGGUGUUUGCGGAUUUGCACAUCUCUUAUACUGCACCAUUGUAUGGUAAGUUAUACUGGAGCCUCUCCUGAGCUCAAUAACAAAAGCCCAUUGUGUGAGGGUGUUAUACCCCACGUGCUCAGCCCAGGACGUAUUUGUGUCUCAUGAAAGUACUGAGGAUCUUGCAUGAGAAUUGCUUUCUAGUAUUUCUGCAUGGAUUUUAAUGACAUUUGUGCAGAUGCACAGCUGAUAAAAGGAAUCUUUUUCAGUUCAGCUGUAGCAGCCAUUCCUAGCAAAGCUAGAUUUUUAGUAGCAGCCUCCAGAAUUGUUGCUGUAUCAUUUGGUGUUACUCCUUUGUAUUUGCCAAGGGUGUGCUCGAGUGGAUUUCCACUAAAUAGGGUAUGUCUGUACAUGGCCGGGGGAGGGCUUGUGCCACUCCAUGAAAGCUAAAUCAAGUGCAGGGCAACUGCACGGGAGGAUAUGUGCAGAAUAAGCUCAUCUUUUCAGCACAAUUCUGUUUCACAUUAGUAGACGAUUAAGUUUCAUUGCAAGAUCAAACCCUUUGUGUCUUGCAGUGUAUUCCUGACUUUGUUUGAUAAAACUUGAUAAGAGCUGAAGGUGUAAGUGGCAGGUGUGACCAUGCUUCCAUGACAGAAGGGGCUGGCAACAGAUCCAGAAGUGGAUCACAGAUUGGUGGAUCAGCACUAAAGGGACUGUGGGGAAAAAAAUGGUGGAGGGGUUUCUGGGCUGCCCCUCGAGUCCCUGUGUGGUGCAGCUCCAGACUGCGCUGCUGGGAGCCCACCGUGCUGCCCCAUGGCAGUGGGGCUGCCCAGCAGUGCUCUGCAGGGCUGGGAUGGUGCACCCCUCCCCCUUCCUAAAUCCUGCAGGGCCCAAGCUUAUUUGUACAACAAACAAGGCCCGACUGGAGUUUACCGUGCAGAAUUGUGCCUCUCUAAUAUAAUUCAGCUGCGUGGGUAUUUCAUUGCAAAGAAAAUAGAGCGAUGACUUCCACGAGGUGCCUUCAUCGGUGGCCACUGCAUUAAUGCUAAUUGCUCAUUUGACUUCAUCACGUUUAAAGAAGUGCACUGGGCAUGAUUCUGAAAAAAUGUCCAUCAGCAGUGACUCAUUAAAGUAUUGGGAGUUACAGGCACAAGCGGGAUCAGAGUCACCGCUGCUUCUCGGCUCUGUCACACAGGCACUAACCCUUUAUAAAUCAUUAAUUUCCAGACUGUUUAUUAUCCAGGGGAAGUAACAAAGCAGUAGUAUCACAUAACACAUCCUAAGAAUGCCUUGUUCAUUUUAAGAGCAAAUAAAACUAAAUAGCACCAAGUUGUUAGUGAUGCAGCCUACGAGACGGAGCAGAAAGACAAAAAGGGGGAUGAAUCAGGCUGGGGCCACAGAACAAACAGGGGAACGGGUCAAAAAAGCCCCUGUGCGAGAGAGCCUCCACGUCCCGUACCUUCACGCAGGCACUGUUUGUUUGCUACCAGGUGGAAAUUGGCUCUGCUGGCUGCGCUGGGGCGGCACAGCAGUGCUAUGGGUGGGAAGCUUUCCCCAGCUGCUGUUGCCAUCCGUCGGCGCUCUCACAGGACCGAUUCAGCUCCUGUCCAUGGAGCAGCGCGGAGCCGCCGCUCCAAAAAAUAAUAAUCCAAAUUAAUUACUUUGUCGAGAAAGCAAACUGCUGUUGUUUUGCUUACAAGCUCCCUUCUCUAAUGCAUUGGUCACAUGUUGCUCGGCUGUGAGGAGGGGAUGGCAUCAACGCACAGAAAGGAGCGCUGUGUUUGUGUCGGCUGUGCCAUGUGGGGCUGCAGUGUGGGCUGGGGGUGAAGGCAGGAGGAUGGGACCCAAUUCGUAGUGCUCCCGGGGGCACUGCUGGCAGCUGAGCUGUGCACCGUUGUUUAUUCCUCACAGUCCUGCUACUAACAGCAAUGCCAGGCACUGUCAGGCCUCACAAGCUCAGACUGUGUUGACUUCUUGUCAGCUUAGCUUAAAGCCAUCCCUGGUUUCAGAGGUAAAAAGCCCUUUUCUGGCCAGCAUUACUGAGCCUACACUGGGCCGGCUUUUUUGCUCGCCUCAUUCAGCAGUGAAGUAUUAUAUUUCUGAAGGUGAUGCUAACCGCAGUCCAGGCCUCCGAGAUGAUUAUGGCCCAUGUGUUACUUAUUUUAAUCUCUUAAGGUUCCAAAACACUCUAUUUUUACAGUUGCCAUUUGAAGUUAUUGUUAGUUGCAAAUUAUUAGAAACAUAGUUUCAUCUAUAACAUGCAGGAUUAAUUUAAUCUUUACCAUAUUUUGUUUUACAUCACACAGGAAGCAUUUUAGUCUGAUGAAUACCACGGGUGUGUAAUUAGUGCUUUAUACAGUAAACUUGAUUAUAACUUACACUGUCCUCCCUGGCUCCAAAGAUCCCUGCCGAUUUUCAUUCAGUUGCUGCCCUCUCUCUGAACGAAAGCAUUUCAGCUCAACCAUUAUCAUUCAGACCACACCGGUACCUUUCCGUAGGUCGGAUGUGGUGGCAGUUCUAACUCAGGAGUUAAUGGGAAAGUCUCCAAUUAGACACUUGCUCUAUAUUUAGCAACUACCAGAUUUUAAAUGGUGACCACCUGAUUUCUCUAGCUGAGGUUUGCCUCAGUCAGGGCUUAACGGGCAUCAGGACUGGGAGAUAAAAGGAAAGGGAAACUGCUUCUGAGGUAUUUCUGAAUUUCAGUGAGAAGGAGGCACCUGCCCUGGCUGAAUGAAAGGCCCUUCACCUGCUUAUCUCCAUCUGCCAGCACUCAAACACCUCUAAAAAUCAGGCAGGAUGCUUUGGCUAAACACAUAACAGCAAAUCCAUCAAAAAACCACCUUGCUCCUUCGAUUUGUUCUUUGCGUUGGCUGAGAACCUUUGGCACUGAGGCAGCUCUGAGGUAGAUCUGCCCUUCGUAGCUUUGUAUGAAGACGGCUGAGGUGUAGUAGCAGCUUUAGGGCAUCUGAAAAAGGAGCUCCUCCGAUGAGCUCUGUGCUGCCGGGUGAAGCAUCCCGGGGUGGGAGCGCCCAUGUGGGCAAUGGGCCGGCUGUGUGCGGGGGGGCCUCGCCAGGAGGAGGGGGCAGCGGGGGGAGCGGGGCAGGCCAUCCAUUCUCCUAUUACAGGCCAUCCCUGUGUUUAUAUCAUCUUGUUUAGCUUACUCCUAAUGCACAUCCUAAGACGUACCUCUAAUACACAUCCUAAGACAUGUUUAUGAAAAUUCUUUAUAAGCAAAAUAUUUUACUUCCAUGGAGGAAGUUCAGAUACAGAGCAGCCUCGGCGCUGCGCGGUCCCGCCGUGCUCCUGCCCUCUCUCCCUGUGCAUCUCUUCCUGAAAAAUUCAGCCUCCAGCCCACCCACAUUACCGCUGCAAGAGCCAAUAAUCGUAACAUAUGGAUCCUCGGCCAAUCUUGUUUUGUUCUCGCUAACAUGUUUGCAAGCAGUAAUCAUUCUUCAGAAGAUUAAAUACUACUUAAGGUGAGUUGUUAGCUGGACAGCCAGCAAUGGGAUUUUGGAUCCAUUUUUGGUUUUAAUUCUUGCGGUGCUUCUUCAGAGCAGACCCCCAUCCCUCCGUGCAGCACAAAUUCCCUCAGUGUGAUUCUCCACCGCCCACGAAUUGGGAAAUCUGAAACAUCAGACGGGCUCAAAUCAACAGCAUCAUCGAAAUGCCCAAACAUACAAACACACCUCCGUCUGAAAAGGAUUUUGAGCGUUUACUGAACCCAUUGACUCCAUUUGUGAGUGCUCAGCACUUCUGAAAAUCAGGCAAGAAGCUUUUAAAGAUUAAACAAUAGGCCGACUCCAGCAGGAAAUAAAAUCAUUUAAAUUUUGAAGAGAGACACAUAAAAAGGGGACGUGACAUUCGAGAGAUAUUUUAUUAUGUUAGACAGCAAAUUCAUAGGAAAUGCUUUUUCUGUGAAGUGAUUUAUGGUGCUGAGGGACUCAUGGCCACAGAGACAAGGCUUUAAAAGUUUCAGGCACAGACUGGAUGACAGAACUAUCUUUGUUUAACUGUAAUUGCUAAUAGCGUAUCUGCAAGGGUUGCUUAACCUCAGGCUUUGGGGUCUAAUCUAUACUCUGGUUUCCAGGUCAAGAUGAAGCCUAACGUGGUGGCUGGUUAUCUCACAUCAGCUUAAUGCAAGCUCCUUCUCACUGCCUGCCCUGAGCACACCAUCAAGCAUUGGUGCUCAGACACGUCAGGAGGAGGUACUGUGCAAACGCCCUGCAAAGGGAUUCUGCAGGUAGAAGACAAGAGACAAUGAGACGUACAAGGGCAGCAAUAAUGGGCUACUUAGGUCAAAGUUUUCUUCCUUGAUACUACGAUGCAGCCCCAAAGUCUCAUUCUACACAGACCCCAUCCCACACACCCAAAUCUCAGACUCAUCAGAAUGCAGAUGACCACAGCUUGCUGCAGUGCUGCACUCAGCCUUCUCCUGCAUUAUUUAUGGUUAUUCUCUUUGGGAAAGAAAAUAAACAACAACAACAAACAACAAAAAACAACAAAUAGUUUACACGCUUUUAAAACUCAUAAAUAUAACAAACCCAAGGCAAUUUGGCAAACCUGCCUUAUGGCUGGUGGCCCACCUUGGGCCUGCUCAUGUGGUCGUGCUGACAUGUCUUUCUACCUCCAAGGAAUCUGUCACUUGGAGCCAAUCUAUCACAGUGACACACCGCUCAGAACACUUCUUUCUCUUUAUUCAUCCAUUACUUCACUUCCUGCCAUCCAUCUCCCUUGAGAUUUCUUUUCCUUAUUUUUAAUACCUGUGCCAAGUUGUAUCGCUGCCAUCUAUUUACCCACUGUGAUCAUCAGACUAAAACCAGAAAGAGACUGAAGCCAUCGGGCCAAAAUCUGAUUACCUGCAUCUCUUUUUAUUCACGUAUCAUUGAUGGUAUCUGGAGAACUGAACGUGCACUGAGUUUGAAUGAAUACAUUUCACAUAUGAGUGAGUUAAACAGAGAAUUCUGCUUCACAGGUACUGGGGGGAGGGGAGGGGGAAUGACGGUAUUAGCUUAGAUUUCCCAAAAAGCUCUAGAAAAAAACCCUGAGAUUUUUUUAUCUAUCUAUCUAUCUAUCUAUCUAUCUAUCCAUCCGUCCAUCCAUCCGUCCAUCCAUCCAUAUAUAUUCUGGAAAUGUUCUGUUUAUUCUCUGGGGAUUGUGACCUUGGGGUGAACCCCACGGAGACCCCACAUUUUCAAGAUGUUCUUUGUUAUCACAUGUUUUAAGAUUACUUUACAGGUCCACGGAAGAAAAGCUUCUCAUACAACCAUUUGUUUCUCUAAGAACUUCAGUUCUAAAUGAAACAUCAAAUAUCGUGGGAGCUGGUAACCCGAAACCCAACAGUUUGUAUCAAGAAACUGCUUGAUACAACAGUGAGUGCUCUGAAAGCAGGCAUUCAUUUCCAGAAGUGCCAUCAGCUGGCCACGUAUUGAUACGUCCCCAGAACUCAUGAAGUUUGCAGACAUGCAUCCUUAGACAGGCACUACUGAAUUAGAGCAUUUUCCCUCUUUUCUCAGAAAUGCACGGAUGGAAUUUCCAUAAUGUAUUGCAGAUAACACACAAUUCCACGUAAAGCCUGAAUAAAUACAAUCAGUGUUCCUUGAAUGAAUGUUGAUAAGGAGCAGGGCAGGAGAGCGGCUGACAGGCUGCCAUGCUGGGCCAGAGCCCAUCUGCACCCACCCACGGGGUAGGACAGCGUAUGUGCGAGAUGUCCUCUGGCUGUGGAGGGACAUCCCAAAGGAAAAGCUGGAGAGCCCAUUCCUUAGGCUACACAGGUGAAUCUAUGGAUGAUGAUUUUUGUCCUUCCUAUUUCGUAUUAUCAGUAGCACGCUUUUGCUAGGCGGAGCAUCAGGUGAGCUAAACGUGUUCAUGGUCUUCACUAGCACAAAUUCAGUGCAGAGCUGUACAGAAAUUAGGGGACAGCCUGCAACACCCCCGGGACAAGCAAACUGGGGUUUGCACUGUGGUAUGCAUGUGGGCUUCACACACUGUCAAUCCUUUCUUUGUUUCCUGAAAUUUCAAGCUCCUUGCAAGCCCUUAGCUAUAUAAUGCCUUAUUUUAGCAUAACUGUUCCUGAUAAAUCCCUGUAGAUACCAAAAUAUGUGAAAAGCAGCUUAGCCCUGGGGAACACCCCCAGUCCCUCAUUAGAAAAAGAUGGGGUAGAGUAUCUUAAAGCAAACAAAAAAAGUGAUGUCCCUGUUAUAGAAUUCCGCGACUUGAGGUAAACCAACCCUAGCCCAGGAAACUGUAUCCUGGGUUACUCAUUCGGAGUAUUCCUCCCUGAGCGGCUGCUUGUUUGUGUACGGCUGCCCCGGGCUAUUGCUGCAAAAUUCCUCGUGCUGAAGCAACUCCAUUCAUACGGGCAGGGCCUGAAAUAACGCACAGCCAGGCUGACUCCCAGCCCAACACGGGUAGCUGCAGUUACAGCCCGACUGAUCCGAGUUCAGUCAUCUUUACACACAGCACUAUCUAUUGAAUUGAAAACACAGGGAAACAAAGCUGGAGGGAGAAACUGCCAGUGUUUGUCUACGUUGUGCAUCCAGCAGACCUCCCCCACAUCUCAAAGGGUUAUAGAAUGUAUUAACUGAGCUUCAGAAUGCCUAAUAAGUACGUAAUUGCAGACUAAUUUCCCCUUUCCUAGACGUGAAUUUACAGUGGUGGCAAAAAAGGAAUGAAGCAAACAAACAAAAAGCACAGUUUUCUUCAAACUUGAAAGUGCUGAGAGCUGAUGCUGUCGCGGUGAGCUGUGCUGGUGGGGGUUUGGCACAAGAAGGGCAACUUGGAGCAGGUAAUGGCUGGGUGCCCCCAGAGCCGCCUACGCCUGCUCCAGCCCCAUGCCCAUCCCCUGUGCCCACAAACGAUUUCUUUGUGUCUGUGGUCUGAGGAAAUGAGCCAGCUGAGUUAGCAACUUCUUUGCUGGCUGUUUCUCAGUGACUGCAGCAUAAAAAGCACAGGAGAAAGGAGGGAGCACCUAGCUGUGUUGCUGUUCAGUGCUGAUGCUAAAUGCCAUCAGGCUAAAGCUGGCUCCAUGAACAUGGAAACCCAUCCAAAGUCUCAUGCCACCCAAACUAAAGGCUUCUCCCAUCUUUAUGCAGUAACUUCACCCUGAGAGAAAACACCGCUUCUCCUGAUUGCAUCUUUGUCGUCUUCUGCGAAUAACUGAUUGCCCGAGAUAGAAGGGGAAAUGAGGGUGACAGCCUGCUUGCUGGUCAGACAGUCUCUAAUGGAGGCCACAAAGAUGGCGAUCUGGCGCACACACGGUGUGUGAUGAGCAGCUGAGCUCCCUUUGUUUGUUCAGCCUGGAGCAGAGACUGAGGGGAGGCCCAGCAAUGGCUGCAGCUCCUCAUGGGGCAAUGGGGACCGGGGGGGUGGCUCUGGGGAGGAGCUCGGUGGGGGAAGGCUGCACCCCAGAGAGUGGUGGGACACCACUGGCACACGGGGUUGGGCUUUGGGGUGGUUCUGUGUGAGGCCGGGGGCUGAGCUGUUCUUGGGAUGCCACUUGGGAUGUUCUGCAGUUGCACAUUGUUGAGGGAACGCCCUGCAAAUCAAUGAUGCAUGAUCAAGUCUGUCAGCCCUUGGGCAACAGUGUUACACCUCGUUGACACAGCUGCAGGGCUGAUAAAUAAAUGCGUUUUUCAGGGCUGCCUCAGGUGGCCCCCAAGUUUUCUCCUCCUUAUUUUUCUCAAAAGAACAAUACCAACAGGUUUCAGCAUCCUAAAGCCUACCAGUAAACCUCAGAAAUCAAACUGCAACCGGAGAAGCUGUGGAGGAAACUUAAUAUAUGAAAAAUGAUCUUCUAAAAAUCAUACAGGAUGUUCCUUCACCAAUUCUCUGUAUUGAUUCCUGUAACAUCAUCUUCUUUCUCCUUUUCUUCUUUUAAUGCAUUUCUAUUUCUUCCAAACACAGGAAAAAAAAAAAAAACCAAAAAACGCAAACAUUUCCUUUACAAAACAGAACAAAGAGGUUUUUCUUUCCAAUCAGUAAUUUCGUUUUCUUUUGUAAAUGUAAGGAGAAACUCCUGAAAAAUCAAUAUAUCGUUGUCAAGUCACACACAGUCGGGAAUGGUGCAAGCUUAGUAAAUAAAGGAAAUUGCAAUGUUUCCCUCUCUUCAGUUGGCCUUCAGUGCAUCCAAGGUGACUGCCCAGCCCCGCCGUGCUCCUGGUUUGCUCCUCUGAAAAUGCAAAAGCUGAUCUCGGAGAUGAAAAGCAAAGUUUGAAAAGAAUUGUUCUUGGAGUCAAAAUUCCUGGUGUCCUAAAUUACAGCAACCCCCACCCGGAGCGAUUGGCUCCUCGGGGUAAUCUGAGCUCUCUCAAUUAACUGGCACAGAGAUAAAGAUUGCUCAUGCUAAAGUUGUCACAUAACACCGGGCUUAGAAAUUGGAAAAUCUCAAGCACAAGAAAGGUACCUUUUCACUUGUAUCUACAGCCUCAGCGUGUAUCAAUAUUUGGAUUUGGUUUAUACUCUCUUGAUGUGCAAAACGGAGGGAAUUAUAUACUGAAACAAAAGAAAAGGACUUUUUGUUGGAUUACCAUGUUAAUUAAAAUGUGGAAGACACCAUUUACCAUCUGAACACUUCAGAGUUUGAGUCUGUUGCUUUUGCAAGGCACAACGGGCAUCUGCAAAGUACGUGUGGAGUUCUGAAGCUCAGAUGUAAACCCCUUACAGACCCAAGAGGGGAAGAAGAUAUUUUAACGAGUUGUUUUGCACCUGCAAUUAAACAGACAUGCAGGCAAGUCUAAUUUACACUGAAACUUAAUUGCAAGCAUAAAUCUUGUGUAUACGUAUGACAUAAAUAAAACCUCUCCUAGCUGUUCAUGUUCUGUUACAAAGGAGCCGAGUCCCAUAGCUUUGUUUUGUUUUGUUUUGUGAUUAUAGGUUUUCUUUUGGGGUACGGCAUUGUUUUAAUGCAUCUGUCAUCGUCCCUGAAAAUACCCAGUUGUGGAGUGUCAAAAAAAUACCCAACAAAUGAGAUGCAGUUCGUCUUGGAGUUCCUCUGAACACUGGUGCCACUGACAGCCAGCAGCCAGGGUGGGUGAACGGGGGUGUGUGGGCCAUCAUUCAUGAAGUGAGCAUCCUGCAAAGGGGCUCUGCUGCUGUGGCAUGUUUGUGGAGGGAGCCGGGAUCGAGAGCACUACAAGGAAUGGCUCAGGGGAUUAUAGAACUGCUGAGGUCACUUUUAUCUUCUAAACAAUAUUUCAUGUGUGGAAAGGCACUUUGAGCCUCCUGGGGUGAGCACCGUAUGACUCCGGGUCGGCAGCCCUUACACCAAGAGCAGCUUCAUGAUGAAACCUAAAGCAGAAGGUAACAACAGAGCAUCCCCAAACCAACCAAGAAGCACUCCGGGGUGGAUGCCUUCCCCUGAAACAUCUCAUGCAAUUUAUUUCCAUAUCAGCUUGAAUAUUUGAAGGUUUUUGAGGGUUAGGAGAGGACACUGAAUGAGGCCAAGACGUAGAAGACUGAAGAGACCCAAAGCCACAGCAGAGCACCACGUCCAUCCUCCACAUAAAGCUGAUAUCUUUAUGGAGACUCACACUGAAGUAGGACUGGAUCUGUGAGGGUCAAAUUCUGAUUUUGUUGUUGGGAAAGGAUAGGCAGUGAAGGGGCUGCUAGAUUUGUUUCACUUCUCUCACAAAACGUAUUCCUGCCUGAAUUAUGAACCUGCUGUUAUGCUGAUAAGCCUGUUUAUGGUGUGACCUACUUAACCACAGCUCUGGUGGCUCGAGGCUCGCAGCAGCGCAAAGGCCAAAGGCCCCAAACAGGAAAAGAUAUCAUAUGGGGGAAAAAAAGUUUCCAAGCCUUUGUCCUUUACAUGCUGCAAGGUGUCAAGCACUGAACCAGCGCUGAGACCAUUGUUCAACCAACUGCUCUUUUCAAAUGGAAAUGUCUGCAAAAGCCAUGUCAGCAAAAGGAAUUCAUUGCUUCAACGUGGCUCCUAGCUUAUAUCCUACAAUAAAACCUGAGGCCUAUUA